ACCAGAAUAGCAUAAUGGUAAUGCGUUUGCUUGUUAAGCAACAAGAUAUAGGUUCGACUCCUUUUUCUGGUG
RNAcentral lists this transfer RNA (72 nucleotides) under Gammaproteobacteria bacterium. RNAcentral's name for it is "tRNA-Asn". It matches the Rfam family "tRNA". From Rfam's summary of the family: Transfer RNA (tRNA) molecules are approximately 80 nucleotides in length. Lineage: Bacteria; Pseudomonadati; Pseudomonadota; Gammaproteobacteria. The record is from RNAcentral.